This 389-nucleotide ribosomal RNA is filed under the name uncultured bacterium. RNAcentral's name for it is "bacterial SSU rRNA". It matches the Rfam family "Bacterial small subunit ribosomal RNA", at positions 28 to 416 of the family's 1533-position model. The record is from RNAcentral.
GACGAACGCUGGCGGCGUGCUUAACACAUGCAAGUCGAGCGGUAAGGCCCUUUCGGGGGUACGACGAGCGGCGAACGGGUGAGUAACACGUGGGUGACCUGCCCUCAGCUCUGGGAUAAGCCUGGGAAACCGGGUCUAAUACUGGAUAUGACUCCAUGACGCAUGUUGUGGGGUGGAAAGCCUUGUGCGGCUGAGGAUGGGCCCGCGGCCUAUCAGCUUGUUGGUGGGGUGAGGCCUACCAAGGCGACGACGGGUAGCCGGCCUGAGAGGGCGACCGGCCACACUGGGACUGAGACACGGCCCAGACUCCUACGGGAGGGCAGCAGUGGGGGAAUCUUGCGCAAUGGGCGAAAGCCUGACGCAGCGACGCCGCGUGAGGGAUGACGGCC